AGAUUAUAUCAAUUGUUGAAAAAAAUAUGCAGAAAGUUGAAAGGUAGCAAAUGAGACGACUAAAGCAUCGGUUUUGGCAUUGAAUUAUGAGAUUGGCGAUUGGCUCAAAAAAGGGUCCACUGCAAGUUUAUGGGUAAUGGUGGUGGUGAUAUGGAUCCAAAAGAUAUAGAGUAUGUCAAGAAGUGUUGAUUUGUAGUUGCAUAUGGUAUCUUCGAUGGAUACGAUACACCAUAUCAGCUUAAUAAUAUUAGUGCUCGGUCACAAAAGUUCUUUUGUUUUCUUAUGGUGGUUGAUGAGAAUCUUUUUUCAUCAAGAAAAACGUUUCUGUAAGAGUGGAAACUGAUGGGGGUCAUUGAGUGGGAGUUUGACAUCUUAUUCUUCUGAAGCAUCAACCAUAUGAUGAACCCGGAAGAAAUAGAAAGGUUCCAAAGAUAUUAGUAAACAUGAUGUUUCUAGAAGCAUUGUACAACAUCUGGAUUGAUGGUAAAGUGGAGCUAAUACUUGAUCCGUUACUUAUGGUAGAGAGGUCAGUUGGUUUACCUGUGACCCCAAGCUUCAUAUUGAAAGGGAGCAGUUGAUUAAAAGGGAACAGUGAUGUUAUCUGACAUGUACGACAAAAAUCACACACCCGCUGAUUAAUGAAAACUUGCAUGGAGCUCCAACAUAUGGCGGGUGAGUUGAAGCUAGAGAACCUAGACACUGCCCUUCUAUUGAAGAUAAGGAGUGCGCGAGUUUGCAAGAGUAAUGUAUAUGGCAAGGUGGAUUGGCGGACAUCGUAGUCUGAAAUAUGUCUAUAUUUCUACCUUUCUUAGGGGGAGGGGGCUUUGCUAAUUUUCAUAUUAUAUUCAGGUAUCUGGCUUGUUCUACCAAAAUGCAAUGAAGUACUCAACUACUCCAUCCAACGAUCCUGACACACAUAAGGAUUUCAGGCCAAACCAGUAAGGCUAAGAGUGAUCUUUCUGUCAAAGAUAUUGUUGAGCAGACGUGAAGGACAAUUCAGUUAUGAUGUAUAUAAAGGGGAUUCCCGAAAUGCCUAGAUGCGGUUUCAGCUCUUUUGCAGUGAGGGUACUGAAGGAUUAUAGUAAGUUUUUCAGUUUUGGUUGAUUAUUUGACUUUAUCUGUUAGCAAUUUGAGGCUCUUUCAAAUGUUGGUAGAAACUUUUAUAAGUUUAAGUUAUCAACACAGCUGAGAGCUAUUUAUAUGUGUGGGAUAGACAUGGAGUAAAAUACCCCCUUCCUCGUAUAUGGAUUAGAGAGGAUGGAUUGGUGAUGAAGCUACCCUGACCAAGCUAAGUAUUGACUGAGUUUUUGGUAUUCUGUAAAAAUUCUUGGCUUAAAUUGUCCCCUGUCAUCAGGUAUAAGCUGAGAUUUCGAUUGUUCUAUUUGCCAAAAUUUAUGUGGGAUCCUGUCGUGGUGUGAUGUAUUUGUAAAUUUCUGUUAUUAUAUCUCUUUAUGAUUCUUAAUUUCUCAAUCUUUUCUUACAUGUAUGAUCAUUAUAUAUCUUUUUAUGUUGGCCUCUUCAUGUGUCAGUAGUAACAUUUGUGAGAUUGAAGAAAUAUCAAAGGGAGAUUAGUGCACGGGUUAUGCAUAAUUAUAUUUUUUUGCCUAAAUUUUUCUCAAGUAGUAAAAAGUUUGUGCUAAUUCCAUGUCUUUUUUAUACAGGCAUCGAUAGUGAAAUUUCCUUGAUAUCCUAAUCCUAUUGCAUCCUCCAUAUCAAGCAGAAUCAGGGUGGAAGUUAAAAGUUGAAGUUAUUUUGUUGUUAAAAUCUCUCCUCUCUGUAAUGUUUCGAUUUGUUUAGGUUAAAAUGAGUUUGUCUAAAGAGGUUGUGUUUUUCAAGAUUUGUUGAAUUAUUGUAUGUAUAUAAUUUAUUGAUUAUGUUUAGUGUUAAGAGUGAUACUUGUAUGGUUGUACAUGUUUCACUUGAAACUACGAUGAAAAUUUUAGUUUGGUUUAUAGGAAAUACAACGUAUAAAAUGGUUGUUAAACUUAUAAUUUUCAAUGAAAAGUAGUGUUUUUUUCUUGUGACAACAAAUAUAGCAACUUUCAAAGUGUAAUUGCUAAAU
Spinacia oleracea (spinach) is the source of this 2062-nucleotide long non-coding RNA. RefSeq lists it as uncharacterized. The record is from RefSeq and is a predicted model, not a curated record. NCBI's taxonomy places the organism in Eukaryota, Viridiplantae, Streptophyta, Magnoliopsida, Caryophyllales, Amaranthaceae. The transcript has 6 exons.